GGAUAAGCGUGGCGUGCCGAGCAAUCACGAAAAAGGCUCAACCUUAAAAUUAAACGCUGACGAAAACGUCGCACUGGCUGCCUAAUUAGGCGGUGCCGCGGCUCUUUAGCCGCCCGUUCCCCCGGGGAGUACCACGGCCCCGGCCGGAGCGUCAUGCAGUGGUGAACAUGCACCGAGACUUCGCACUUGCAUCGGUCAUGCAAAAAAGGGCUACCUGCGGAUGGAGAUUGUCUGUGACCGCCAUCCAAGGGGAAUUCUAAACCACAGACUGCCCACGAAGAAGGUCCCGUGAACGGGUUUUCGGACAGGGGUUCAAUUCCCCUCGGAUCCACCA
RNAcentral lists this transfer-messenger RNA (334 nucleotides) under Clostridia bacterium. Its description in RNAcentral is "partial transfer-messenger RNA". It matches the Rfam family "transfer-messenger RNA", at positions 39 to 374 of the family's 374-position model. From Rfam's summary of the family: Bacterial tmRNA, also known as 10Sa RNA or SsrA, is named for its dual tRNA and mRNA-like properties. Its role is to liberate the mRNA from a stalled ribosome. Lineage: Bacteria; Bacillati; Bacillota; Clostridia. The record is from RNAcentral.